AUGGUCAUAUCACGUGGAAACAUUGUUUCUUGUACAAUCACUGAAGUUAAGCAACAUGGAGCCUGGUCAGUACUUAUAUGUGUGACCACUUAGGAAUACCAGGUGCUGUA
Acanthosepion pharaonis is the source of this 110-nucleotide non-coding RNA. The record is from the annotation of a GenBank genome assembly. Lineage: Eukaryota; Metazoa; Mollusca; Cephalopoda; Sepiida; Sepiidae.